RNAcentral lists this ribosomal RNA (329 nucleotides) under uncultured eukaryote. Its description in RNAcentral is "partial 18S ribosomal RNA". It matches the Rfam family "Eukaryotic small subunit ribosomal RNA", at positions 1470 to 1796 of the family's 1831-position model. The record is from RNAcentral.
CCCUUAGAUGUCCUGGGCCGCACGCGCGCUACACUGAGUGUCUGAGAUCCGAGUCUGCCUGGUCCGGCAAGGUCUAGGUAAUCGCUAAAAGACACAUCAUGCUUGGGAUAGAUUAUUGCAAAUAUUAAUCUUGAACGAGGAAUUCCUAGUAAGCGCAAGUCAACAGCUUGCGUUGAUUACGUCCCUGCCCUUUGUACACACCGCCCGUCGCUACUACUGAUUGGAUGUUUAAGCGAGGUUCUCGAACUGCUAGCGACUUAGCUUCGGUGAGGUCGCAGUGUGGGAAGUGAACCUAGCUUUGGUGUCUAGAGGAAGUAAAAGUCGUAACA